RNAcentral lists this ribosomal RNA (367 nucleotides) under uncultured eukaryote. Its description in RNAcentral is "partial 18S ribosomal RNA". It matches the Rfam family "Eukaryotic small subunit ribosomal RNA", at positions 592 to 975 of the family's 1831-position model. The record is from RNAcentral.
CAGUAGCGUAUAUUAAAGUUGUUGCAGUUAAAAUGCUCGUAGUUGAAGUUCGGAUGCAGCAGAGCUUGGAAACGCUGUUAUGGUGCUUCCGUUGCUUUUGCUUGUCCACAGUGCGUUGCAAGUACGUAUGUGCUUGUGCGUGCAUUUUACUUUGAGAAACAUAGGGUGUUCCACGCAUGUUACGGCAUGAAUAUUCCAGCAUGGGAUAAUCUGGUACGACUUCCAAUCUGCCAUUUUGGUUCGUAGGUUGGAAGUAAUGAUUAAUAGGGACUGUCGGGGGCAUUGGUAUUUGACUGUCAGAGGUGAAAUUCUUAGAUUCGUUGAGGACCAACCACUGCGAAAGCAUUUGCCAAGGAUGUUUUCAUUG